UUUCCAUUUCAAUAUUUCUUUUAUCUUUCCUACUAAAACAAAUAAACAAUAUCAACAUCCGAGUCUCUAUUGAAGAAAAUGAUGAAGGAUUCCGUGAUCGUUUUGACGCAAUCUAAUAUCCUAGCUUUGUGUUCAUCGCUUAAGGUUGCAAGGAUUGUCUGGAAGACUUGGAUGGAUGGUUCGAGGGAAUAAAGACGCACAUGGGUUUUCAUAAGAUUUUAAAAUGUUUUGAUCAUUAUUUUUGACUUAUUUGAAAUAAUAUAAAGUUUUACUAUUUAUGGAUUGAAGUUUUGACCUCUGAUGUACUGUAUAAGUGACACGUCAGCCCGAGCCGGGUUGGGGUGUUACAGUUAUGGUAUCAGAGCUCAGGCUCUUUCCUGUCGAUUUCUUUUUAAACAAAACCUGUCCGGUAAAGGGUAGAAGUUGAUUUAGUACUCCUAAUCUUCCGCCAAAGCAUUAGGUUAGUCCAUAUAUAUAUUUUUCUAAGCCAUCGUUAAUGGUUAAUGGUUUGAUCUGAAGUUUA
Helianthus annuus (common sunflower) is the source of this 523-nucleotide long non-coding RNA. RefSeq lists it as uncharacterized. The record is from RefSeq and is a predicted model, not a curated record. Lineage: Eukaryota; Viridiplantae; Streptophyta; Magnoliopsida; Asterales; Asteraceae. The transcript is spliced from 3 exons.